CCUACGGGCGGCAGCAGUGGGGAAUAUUGGACAAUGGGCGAAAGCCUGAUCCAGCCAUGCCGCUUGUGUGAAGAAGGCCUUUUGUUUGUAAAGCACUUUAAGUGGGGAGGAAAAGCUUAUGUUUAAUUCCCAUAAGCCCUGACGUUACCCACAGAAUAAGCACCGGCUAACUCUGUGCCAGCAGCCGCGGUAAUACAGAGGGUGCAAGCGUUAAACGGAAUUACUGGGCGUAAAGCGCGCGUAGGUGGUUAUUUAAGUCAGAUGUGAAAGCCACGGGCUUAACCUGGGAACUGCAUCUGAUACUGGAUAAAUAGAGUAGGUGAGAGGGGAGUAGAAUGCCAGGUGUAGCGGUGAAAUGCGUAGAGAUCUGGAGGAAUACCGAUGGCGAAGGCAGCUCCCUGGCAUAAUACUGACACUGAGGUGCGAAAGCGUGGGUAGCAAACAGGAUUAGAUACCCCAGUAGUC
This 465-nucleotide ribosomal RNA is filed under the name uncultured Moraxella sp. Its description in RNAcentral is "bacterial SSU rRNA". It matches the Rfam family "Bacterial small subunit ribosomal RNA", at positions 338 to 795 of the family's 1533-position model. The record is from RNAcentral. Lineage: Bacteria; Pseudomonadati; Pseudomonadota; Gammaproteobacteria; Moraxellales; Moraxellaceae.